This 92-nucleotide transfer RNA is filed under the name Glutamicibacter creatinolyticus. RNAcentral's name for it is "tRNA-Pro". Lineage: Bacteria; Bacillati; Actinomycetota; Actinomycetes; Micrococcales; Micrococcaceae. The record is from RNAcentral. RNAcentral also lists the same sequence under 1 other name.
CCAGGGCAUAGAUUGCCGGGGACAGGCGGUGGCCGCUGGGGGCGGCCGGGUCGUAUUCCAGCGCGGUGCGUUCAGACAUCGGGCUCCUUGGG